This 1348-nucleotide ribosomal RNA is filed under the name Campylobacter upsaliensis. Its description in RNAcentral is "partial 23S ribosomal RNA". It matches the Rfam family "Bacterial large subunit ribosomal RNA", at positions 1584 to 2925 of the family's 2925-position model. Lineage: Bacteria; Pseudomonadati; Campylobacterota; Epsilonproteobacteria; Campylobacterales; Campylobacteraceae. The record is from RNAcentral.
AGAAGAACCCCUGAUGCCGUCGAGCCAAGAAAAGUUUCUAAGUUUAGCUAAUGUUGCCCGUACCGUAAACCGACACAGGUGGGUGGGAUGAGUAUUCUAAGGCGCGUGGAAGAACUCUCUUUAAGGAACUCUGCAAAAUAGCACCGUAUCUUCGGUAUAAGGUGUGCCUCCCUUUGUAUUAGAAUUCACUUCGAAAGCAAAGAAGGUUACAACAAAGAGUCCCUCCCGACUGUUUACCAAAAACACAGCACUCUGCUAACUCGUAAGAGGAUGUAUAGGGUGUGACGCCUGCCCGGUGCUCGAAGGUUAAUUGAUGGGGUUAGCAUUAGCGAAGCUCUUGAUCGAAGCCCGAGUAAACGGCGGCCGUAACUAUAACGGUCCUAAGGUAGCGAAAUUCCUUGUCGGUUAAAUACCGACCUGCAUGAAUGGCGUAACGAGAUGGGAGCUGUCUCAAAGAGGGAUCCAGUGAAAUUGUAGUGGAGGUGAAAAUUCCUCCUACCCGCGGCAAGACGGAAAGACCCCGUGGACCUUUACUACAGCUUGACACUGCUAUUUGGAUAAGAAUGUGCAGGAUAGGUGGGAGGCUUUGAGUAUAUGACGCCAGUUGUAUAUGAGCCAUUGUUGAGAUACCACUCUUUCUUAUUUGGGUAGCUAACCAGCUUGAGUUAUCCUCAAGUGGGACAAUGUCUGGUGGGUAGUUUGACUGGGGCGGUCGCCUCCCAAAUAAUAACGGAGGCUUACAAAGGUUGGCUCAUAGCGGUUGGAAAUCGCUAGUAGAGUAUAAAGGUAUAAGCCAGCUUAACUGCAAGACAUACAAGUCAAGCAGAGACGAAAGUCGGUCUUAGUGAUCCGGUGGUUCUGUGUGGAAGGGCCAUCGCUCAAAGGAUAAAAGGUACCCCGGGGAUAACAGGCUGAUCUCCCCCAAGAGCUCACAUCGACGGGGAGGUUUGGCACCUCGAUGUCGGCUCAUCGCAUCCUGGGGCUGGAGCAGGUCCCAAGGGUAUGGCUGUUCGCCAUUUAAAGCGGUACGCGAGCUGGGUUCAGAACGUCGUGAGACAGUUCGGUCCCUAUCUGCCGUGGGCGUAAGAAGAUUGAAGAGAUUUGACCCUAGUACGAGAGGACCGGGUUGAACAAACCACUGGUGUAGCUGUUGUUCUGCCAAGAGCAUCGCAGCGUAGCUAAGUUUGGAAAGGAUAAACGCUGAAAGCAUCUAAGCGUGAAGCCAACUCUAAGAUGAAUCUUCUCUAAGCUCUCUAGAAGACUACUAGUUUGAUAGGCUGGGUGUGUAAUGGAUGAAAGUCCUUUAGCUGACCAGUACUAAUAGAGCGUUUGGCUUAUCUUAUAAAUA